RNAcentral lists this ribosomal RNA (449 nucleotides) under Streptococcus mitis. Its description in RNAcentral is "bacterial SSU rRNA". It matches the Rfam family "Bacterial small subunit ribosomal RNA", at positions 28 to 464 of the family's 1533-position model. Lineage: Bacteria; Bacillati; Bacillota; Bacilli; Lactobacillales; Streptococcaceae. The record is from RNAcentral.
GACGAACGCUGGCGGCGUGCCUAAUACAUGCAAGUAGAACGCUGAAGGAGGAGCUUGCUUCUCUGGAUGAGUUGCGAACGGGUGAGUAACGCGUAGGUAACCUGCCUGGUAGCGGGGGAUAACUAUUGGAAACGAUAGCUAAUACCGCAUAAGAGUAGAUGUUGCAUGACAUUUGCUUAAAAGGUGCAAUUGCAUCACUACCAGAUGGACCUGCGUUGUAUUAGCUAGUUGGUGAGGUAACGGCUCACCAAGGCGACGAUACAUAGCCGACCUGAGAGGGUGAUCGGCCACACUGGGACUGAGACACGGCCCAGACUCCUACGGGAGGCAGCAGUAGGGAAUCUUCGGCAAUGGACGGAAGUCUGACCGAGCAACGCCGCGUGAGUGAAGAAGGUUUUCGGAUCGUAAAGCUCUGUUGUAAGAGAAGAACGAGUGUGAGAAGUGGAAAG